CUGGGGCUAGCCCAUGGGAGCCUGUGCUUGAGCUGCUUCUCAUGGGAGGCCCUAGAGAUGCUACAGUCACUCCCGAGUUUGGGGAGAAGAUGCCCGAGAGUCAGGAGAACUGGAGGGAAUUCCGGCCCGGGGCCUGCAGCCACUCUGCCAGGGUCCUCACUUUUGCUCACCUAUGCACCAUGUUUUGCAUCUGAGUCAUCAGAGCGAGCGUGCCAGCCACCUCACCAACAUCCUAUUCUGGGGAAACUCCAUUACUCCUGCAUACAUUAUAUCCAGAUGGGUAGCACGAGCUUCAGGGAUGCACCCGAAUUCAUGGAGUUAACUGUGGUAGAUAGAGGCAGAAAGGGCCCUGCGGUUCUGAUUUCCAAACCCUGGCUGGGCUGUUGAAAAUAAACUACAUCGAUA
This 405-nucleotide long non-coding RNA is filed under the name Vulpes vulpes (red fox). RNAcentral's name for it is "lncRNA (ENSVVUG00000014904.1)". Lineage: Eukaryota; Metazoa; Chordata; Mammalia; Carnivora; Canidae. The record is from RNAcentral.